UGAGGGAAAGGUGAAAAGAACCCCGGGAGGGGAGUGAAAUAGAACCUGAAACCCUGCACUUACAAGCUGUGGAAGCACAUUUCUUGUGUGACCGCGUACUUUUUGUAGAACGGGCCAACGAGUUACGGUAAGUAGCAAGGUUAAGCACUUAAGGUGCGGAGCCGUAGCGAAAGCGAGUUUUAACUGAGCGUUCAGUUACUUGACGUAGACCCGAAACCGGGCGACCUACCCAUGAGCAGGAUGAAGCGAAAGUAA
This 255-nucleotide ribosomal RNA is filed under the name Clostridioides difficile. RNAcentral's name for it is "partial 23S ribosomal RNA". It matches the Rfam family "Bacterial large subunit ribosomal RNA", at positions 504 to 759 of the family's 2925-position model. The record is from RNAcentral. Lineage: Bacteria; Bacillati; Bacillota; Clostridia; Peptostreptococcales; Peptostreptococcaceae.